GUGAGAAAGUCUCCCUCAAAAAUCCCUUGGUAAUCAUCGAGGGGUCAAAAACUUUCAGCAAAAAAAUUUUUCUUGGCAAAACUGAAGGCCAUUGGCCAAGAACUGAUCAUUUUCUAAUGGAUUCACCAACCAAAAUGCACUUGAAAAUCUCUCGGUAACUGCCAAGGGAUUCAUCAAGAAAAUAUAUCUCGUUAAAAAUUGGCUGGC
Molecule: long non-coding RNA, 207 nt
Filed under: Elaeis guineensis (African oil palm)
Lineage: Eukaryota; Viridiplantae; Streptophyta; Magnoliopsida; Arecales; Arecaceae
Description: long non-coding RNA (EGUI_LNC010444)
Source: RNAcentral